UGAGGAAUAUUGGGCAAUGCCCGCAAGGGUGACCCAGCAACGCCGCGUGGAGGAUGAAUGUCGUAAGAUUGUAAACUCCUGUUAGAGGGGAAGAAUAGUACCGGUUGGACCGGUAUAUGACUGUACCCUCAGAGAAAGCCCCGGCUAACUACGUGCCAGCAGCCGCGGUAAUACGUAGGGGGCAAGCGUUGUCCGGAUUUACUGGGUGUAAAGGGCGCGCAGGCGGGAUAAAAAGUCAGUGGUGAAAUCCUACAGCUUAACUGUAGAACUGCCUUUGAUACUUUUAGUCUUGAGUUCGGGAGAGAGAGACGGAAUUCCAGGUGUAGUGGUGAAAUACGUAGAUAUCUGGAAGAACACCAGUUGCGAAGGCGGUCUCUUGAUCCGACACUGACGCUGAGGCGCGAAAGCGUGGGGAGCAAACA
Molecule: ribosomal RNA, 422 nt
Filed under: uncultured bacterium
Lineage: Bacteria
Description: bacterial SSU rRNA
Rfam family: Bacterial small subunit ribosomal RNA
Source: RNAcentral